UUUCCGAUGGGGACAACAGUUCGAAAGGACUGCUAAUACCGAAUGAUGUAUAUCUUCCGCAUGGAGGACAUACCAAAGACGGCCUCUAUUUAUAAGCUGUCACGGAAAGAUGGGCCUGCGUCUGAUUAGCCAGUUGGCGGGGUAAUGGCCCACCAAAGCAACGAUCAGUAGCCGGUCUGAGAGGAUGAACGGCCACAUUGGGACUGAGACACGGCCCAAACUCCUACGGGAGGCAGCAGUGGGGAAUCUUCCGCAAUGGACGAAAGUCUGACGGAGCAACGCCGCGUGAGUGAAGAAGGUUUUCGAAUCGUAAAGCUCUGUUGUCAGGGACGAGCAGGGGGAGUAUCAACAACACUCUCUCAUGACGGUACCUGACGAGGAAGCCACGGCUAACUACGUG
Molecule: ribosomal RNA, 400 nt
Filed under: uncultured archaeon
Lineage: Archaea
Description: bacterial SSU rRNA
Rfam family: Bacterial small subunit ribosomal RNA
Source: RNAcentral